UACAGAGACUGCAAGCGUUAUUCGGAUUCACUGGGCGUAAAGGGUGCGCAGGCGGCCAUGUGUGUGAGGCGUGAAAGCCCGGGGGCUCAACCCCGGAAUUGCACCUCAAACUACAUGGCUAGAGCAUUGGAGAGGGUAGCGGAAUUCACGGUGUAGCAGUGAAAUGCGUAGAUAUCGUGAGGAACACCAGAGGCGAAGGCGGCUACCUGGACAAUUGCUGACGCUCAGGCACGAAAGCGUGGGGAGCGAACGGG
This 254-nucleotide ribosomal RNA is filed under the name uncultured bacterium. Its description in RNAcentral is "partial 16S ribosomal RNA". It matches the Rfam family "Bacterial small subunit ribosomal RNA", at positions 524 to 776 of the family's 1533-position model. The record is from RNAcentral.